UACGUAGGGGGCAAGCGUUGUCCGGAUUUAUUGGGCGUAAAGAGCGUGUAGGCGGCCUGGUAGGUCAGCUGUGAAAACUCGAGGCUCAACCUCGAGAUGUCGGUUGAAACCACCUGGCUAGAGUCCGGAAGAGGAGAGUGGAAUUCCCGGUGUAGCGGUGAAAUGCGCAGAUAUCGGGAAGAACACCCGUGGCGAAGGCGGCUCUCUGGGACGGUACUGACGCUGAGGAGCGAAAGCGUGGGAAGCGAACAGG
Molecule: ribosomal RNA, 253 nt
Filed under: uncultured bacterium
Lineage: Bacteria
Description: partial 16S ribosomal RNA
Rfam family: Bacterial small subunit ribosomal RNA
Source: RNAcentral